CAGUCGCCGCGGGAAUACGUAGGUGGCAAGCGUUGUCCGGAAUUAUUGGGCGUAAAGGGCUCGCAGGCGGUUUCUUAAGUCUGAUGUGAAAGCCCCCGGCUCAACCGGGGAGGGUCAUUGGAAACUGGGAAACUUGAGUGCAGAAGAGGAGAGUGGAAUUCCACGUGUAGCGGUGAAAUGCGUAGAGAUGUGGGGGAACACCAGUGGCGAAGGCGACUCUCUGGUCUGUAACUGACGCUGAGGAGCGAAAGCGUGGGGAGCGAACAGGAUUAGAUACCCCGGUAGUCCCUGUCUCUUAUAC
RNAcentral lists this ribosomal RNA (301 nucleotides) under uncultured bacterium. RNAcentral describes it as "partial 16S ribosomal RNA". It matches the Rfam family "Bacterial small subunit ribosomal RNA", at positions 509 to 807 of the family's 1533-position model. The record is from RNAcentral.